UACGGAGGAUGCAAGCGUUAUCCGGAUUUAUUGGGUUUAAAGGGUGCGUAGGCGGGUUAUCAAGUCAGCGGUGAAAUUUUUCGGCUUAACCGUAAAAUUGCCGUUGAAACUGGUGAUCUUGAGUGCGAGCGAGGUAGGCGGAAUGUGCCGUGUAGCGGUGAAAUGCAUAGAUAUGGCACAGAACUCCGAUUGCGAAGGCAGCUUACUAGUACGCUACUGACGCUGAUGCACGAAGGCGUGGGGAUCAAACAGGAUUAGAUACCCUGGUAGUCCACGCAGUAAACGAUGAUUACUAGCUGUUUGCGAUAUACCGUAAGCGGCCGAGCGAAAGCAUUAAGUAAUCCACCUGGGGAGUACGUUCGCAAGAAUGAAACUCAAAGGAAUUGACGGGGGCCCGCACAAGCGGAGGAACAUGUGGUUUAAUUCGAUGAUACGCGAGGAACCUUACCCGGGCUUGAAAUGCAUCUGACCGAAGUGGAAACACUUUUUCUAGCAAUAGCAGAUGUGUAGGUGCUGCAUGGUU
RNAcentral lists this ribosomal RNA (523 nucleotides) under uncultured bacterium. RNAcentral's name for it is "bacterial SSU rRNA". It matches the Rfam family "Bacterial small subunit ribosomal RNA", at positions 524 to 1050 of the family's 1533-position model. The record is from RNAcentral.